AUAUUUACUUUUGUUGAAAUGGGAUGGAGAAUAUGAGGGGGAAAGUGGGAUAGUUUGAGGGGAAACAAUCUGUUCCGAUUUCUCUGUGCCGAGAGAUUUCAGGAAUCCCAAUUUCUUCUUUUGAAUUUUGAAAUCAACAGAUUUUUUCCCAUUUUCUGUUUGAGUCGCAAUCUUCGAUUUUUCGUAUCUGAUCGGAAGAGAAAACAAUCUGUUAGAAAUCUAAUAUAUUUAUUUUUGUUGUUUGUUUCGUAUUUUUUUUGGGAGCAACAACUGAUAUAUUCUUAGACUGAGAUAAGAUUCUGAUUAUGUUUUGUACUGAAAGUGACUCUAUUUAGCUUUUGCUAUUAGUUCAAGUAAACUUUGUUUUCAUGUUUUCUGGGUUCCGCAUAUGAGAAACUUCGUUUCCAUUUGUAGCGAUUGAUGAGAAAAUCGAAGCAUAUCCUUAGUUGACCGAAACUGGUUUUGGGUAAUUGGAGAAGAGAUUUUGGAGAAUUUUCUUUCUCCCUUAGCCAAUCCUACUCCAGAAUUCUUUAAAGUUUGGACUUUCUUAUUGAUCUUUCGAGAAAUUGAUAAAGAGUUUUCCUAGUUUUUUCUUUUACUUAAACUAUAUAUACACAUAUAUAUUUUCAUUUUCCAUAUGGAGAUUACUGCAUCAAACAAGUGCCAUCUGCCACUUCUUUCCAUUUUGAGAUUCUACCUGCAAAUUCUUUAGGGAAAUCCUCUUAUUUUCCGUGAACAAAAAUUUCCCCAAAAAGUGUUUUUCACUCAUCUAGAGUAGAACCGAUGGCCGUGUCAUUAAGCCGUUUUUCAUUAUGGUUUUGGAACGGGAAGGAGAGAGAGACUGUUGCAAAUGGGUCGACCCCAAAUUCUUCAUCUGAGUUCGGUACUGGUCUGAGAGAACCGGAGAGUCUUAAGUUCAAGAGGGUGGACCUGCCUUCUUCAUCAAAGAAGGUCAAUAAGCAGAAAUGGCUAAGUAAGAAGGAAACAAGGAUUGGGUGGGAAUACGAUUUUGUGAUGGUACCAUCUGGUGGUGAUGACAUGCAAAUGUCUGAUUCUGGUGAUGAGGCUGAUUGGUCUAUUGGUUGGUUGGAGCCUCAUGGUCCUGGUUUUCAGAGUGAUGAUAGUUUUGCUGUUCUGGUCCCUUCCUAUAGCAAUCGUUGCAAGGAGGUGGUGGAGGGUUCUAACGUGGAGCUUUUGGCUGCCAUUAAAAAACUUCAAAAUGAAUUCUCACCUGGAAGCAACAUCAGACAACUUUUGCAUGACACCAAGUGUAUCAUUGUACAGCAUCAGAUUUUAGACUAAAAUGAAAAAUCAUGGUACUAAGGAAACAUAGCGUGGUGGCAGCUGGUCAGACGUAGGUGAUAGAUUUACAGCCAAAUUUCUCCUCUUUGAUGUGCUUUUUGGUAAAACUUUAUGUUCUGUUAAUUGUUUAUUGUCUUUCUCUCAACUAGAGUUUGAGUCGAUGUUAUUUCCAGUGCAUUUGUGUUUCUGAACCAAUUUUGUUUUAAAAACGGCCAUUGCCAAGGAAUGAGUUUUAGAGUUGCAGAAAACGACUGGCGUUACAAUACCUUGGAACUAUAGUCAGGAGUUGUCCUCAGAUGUAAUAGCUUUGAUGACCAAGAGUAAGAAGUAUAUGGAGCUAUGGCUUUCUUCUCUGCAAAACUCAGCCUGAAGUACUCUCGGUGACAACGGCGACCACAUUGAAGCACACAUGCUCAUUACCCCAAAGUUUAGUAUCCUAUUGAGUAGCAGUUUAUAAAAUAGAAUAACAGACUUAAGUUUUGUUUUGUGCAUAUCAAGAUCUUUCUUUCCAUGCUCCUGUUUUUUUGCAUACAUAAAUUUGAUUGACAAUCUGGAAACCAUUGGAAAGGGGAUGUUCUUUCUUUUUAUUUUUGUUUUCUUUCGCCCCUUGUUGUAUACACUAUAUAUGGUAUACAGUCCAUAUACUAACUACUACCGUUUCUUUUAUCCUAUUUCCUAUAAUUAUUUCUUA
Cucumis sativus (cucumber) is the source of this 1993-nucleotide RNA transcript. RefSeq lists it as uncharacterized. The record is from RefSeq and is a predicted model, not a curated record. The transcript is spliced from 3 exons. NCBI's taxonomy places the organism in Eukaryota, Viridiplantae, Streptophyta, Magnoliopsida, Cucurbitales, Cucurbitaceae.